Spea bombifrons (plains spadefoot toad) is the source of this 456-nucleotide long non-coding RNA. RefSeq lists it as uncharacterized. The transcript has 2 exons. Lineage: Eukaryota; Metazoa; Chordata; Amphibia; Anura; Pelobatidae. The record is from RefSeq and is a predicted model, not a curated record.
GGUGGUAGAUAAGUGGAACAGUCUUCAAGCAUAAGUGGUAGAGGGUAAUACAGCGAGGGUAUUAAACAUGCAUGGGAUAGACAUACGGCUCCUGAAUCUAAGACGAGACCAACGACUGAUUAAGGUUUCAGUCUUUACAGCGGGAAAAACAGGCUGGGGGCCGAAUGGGCCUCACUCUCUGGCCAAGAAGAAAUAUGUCUGCCAGCCACAAAAUGCAACCUGUUAAAAUUAAGAUAUUUGUAACUAAAAACUGGAAGGGGACAUCACCGGCGGCAGGCUGUCUCUGUGAAAAACACUCCGCGGAGAUGCUUUGGUUUUACCCGUGUAGGUCGAUGGUCCAUUAGGCCUGUUUAAGAUGAAUUAUUUGAUAAAAGCUAUUUUGAUACAUUGUGUUGCUGAUUAAUAAAGAUACAAAAUAUUCAGUUAAAAUAAUAAAGAAAUUUUUUUAUUAUACAA